GCUUGUCUCAAAGAUUAAGCCAUGCAUGUCUUAGUGUAAAUAACUCUUAUGAAACUGCGAAUGGCUCAUUAAAUCAGUUAUCAAAUACGUGAUGGUCGCCUACUACAUGGAUAACCGUGGUAAUUCUAGAGCUAAUACAUGCGAAAAGACGGGCCGCAAGGCUUGUUGUAUUUAUUAGAUAAAAAAUCAAUACCUGUUCUGCAGGUCCUAUUGGUGAGUCAUAAUAACUGUUCGAAUCGCAUGCUUCGGCAGGCGAUAGUUCAUUCAAAUUUCUGCCCUAUCAGCUUUCGACGGUAGUGUAGUGGACUACCGUGGCGUUAACGGGUAACGGAGAAUUAGGGUUCGAUUCCGGAGAGGGAGCCUGAGAAAUGGCUACCACAUCCAAGGAAGGCAGCAGG
Molecule: ribosomal RNA, 398 nt
Filed under: uncultured fungus
Lineage: Eukaryota; Fungi
Description: partial small subunit ribosomal RNA
Rfam family: Eukaryotic small subunit ribosomal RNA
Source: RNAcentral